GGUGGAUAUGGCUGCAGAUCUUGGGAGAGAGUCAAAAAAAUUUGUAAAUAGCUUUGAAAUUUUGGUGGAGAAGAAGAAGAGAAAAUGAGAGAAAAUGAGGGAAGAUGACAGAAAAUGAGAAGAAGAGGAGGCUGCUGCGGAAAAUGGGAGAAGAACAGUGGGAGGCUUUAAUUCAAAUUUAAGAUGACCGCUUCACGGACC
Molecule: long non-coding RNA, 201 nt
Filed under: Manihot esculenta (cassava)
Lineage: Eukaryota; Viridiplantae; Streptophyta; Magnoliopsida; Malpighiales; Euphorbiaceae
Description: long non-coding RNA (MESC_LNC005868)
Source: RNAcentral